GACGAACGCUGGCGGCGUGCUUAACACAUGCAAGUCGAACGGAAAGGCCCUGCUUUUGUGGGGUGCUCGAGCGGCGAACGGGUGAGUAACACGUGAGUAACCUGCCCUUGACUUUGGGAUAACUUCAGGAGACUGGGGCUAAUACCGGAUAGGAGCUCCUGCUGCAUGGUGGGGGUUGGAAAGUUUCGGCGGUUGGGGAUGGACUCGCGGGUUAUCAGCUUGUUGGUGGGGUAGUGGCUUACCAAGGCUUUGACGGGUAGCCGGCCUGAGAGGGUGACCGGCCACAUUGGGACUGAGGUACGGCCCAGACUCCUACGGGAGGCAGCAGUGGGGAAUAUUGCACAAUGGGCGGAAGCCUGAUGCAGCAACGCCGCGUGCGGGAUGACGGCCUUCGGGUUGUAAACCGCUUUCGCCUGUGACGAAGCGUGAGUGACGGUAAUGGGUAAAGAAGCACCGGCUAACUACGUG
This 468-nucleotide ribosomal RNA is filed under the name uncultured bacterium. Its description in RNAcentral is "partial 16S ribosomal RNA". It matches the Rfam family "Bacterial small subunit ribosomal RNA", at positions 28 to 507 of the family's 1533-position model. The record is from RNAcentral.